This 500-nucleotide ribosomal RNA is filed under the name uncultured Glomeromycotina. RNAcentral describes it as "partial small subunit ribosomal RNA". It matches the Rfam family "Eukaryotic small subunit ribosomal RNA", at positions 591 to 1092 of the family's 1831-position model. Lineage: Eukaryota; Fungi; Glomeromycota. The record is from RNAcentral.
CCAAUAGCGUAUAUUAAAGUUGUUGCAGUUAAAAAGCUCGUAGUUGAAUUUCGGGGUCAGUAGGUUGGUCAUGCCACUGGUAUGUACUGGUCUCACUGAUUCCUCCUUCCUGAUGAACUGUAAUGCCAUUAAUUUGGUGUUGCGGGGAAUCUGGACUGUUACUUUGAAAAAAUUAGAGUGUUUAAAGCAGGCUAACGCCUGAAUACAUUAGCAUGGAAUAAUGAAAUAGUACGUUCGAUCCUAUUUUGUUGGUUUCUAGGAUUGACGUAAUGAUUAAUAGGGAUAGUUGGGGGCAUUAGUAUUCAAUUGUCAGAGGUGAAAUUCUUGGAUUUAUUGAAGACUAAAUACUGCGAAAGCAUUUGCCAAGGAUGUUUUCAUUAAUCAAGAACGAAAGUUAGGGGAUCGAAGACGAUCAGAUACCGUCGUAGUCUUAACCAUAGACUAUGCCGACUAGGGAUCGGAUGAUGUUAAUUUUUUAAUGACUCAUUCGGCGCCUUACG